UAGGGAAUCUUGCGCAAUGGGCGAAAGCCUGACGCAGCCAUGCCGCGUGAAUGAUGAAGGUCUUAGGAUUGUAAAAUUCUUUCACCGGGGAAGAUAAUGACGGUACCCGGAGAAGAAGCCCCGGCUAACUUCGUGCCAGCAGCCGCGGUAAUACGAAGGGGGCUAGCGUUGCUCGGAAUUACUGGGCGUAAAGGGUGUGUAGGCGGAUACUUAAGUCGGGGGUGAAAGCCCAGGGCUCAACCCUGGAAUAGCCUUCGAUACUGGGUAUCUUGAGUUCGGAAGAGGUAAGUGGAACUCCGAGUGUAGAGGUGAAAUUCGUAGAUAUUCGGAAGAACACCAGUGGCGAAGGCGACUUACUGGUCCGACACUGACGCUGAAACACGAAAGCGUGGGGAGCAAACAGGAUUAGAUACCCCCGUAGUCC
Molecule: ribosomal RNA, 424 nt
Filed under: uncultured bacterium
Lineage: Bacteria
Description: bacterial SSU rRNA
Rfam family: Bacterial small subunit ribosomal RNA
Source: RNAcentral